UGACUUAACACGGUGGUAUUCUUCAUGC
This 28-nucleotide small RNA is filed under the name Bombyx mori (domestic silkworm). RNAcentral describes it as "ovarian small RNA-8182". The record is from RNAcentral. Lineage: Eukaryota; Metazoa; Arthropoda; Insecta; Lepidoptera; Bombycidae.